CCUACGGGGGGCAGCAGUGGGGGAUAUUGCACAAUGGGGGAAACCCUGAUGCAGCGACGCCGCGUGAGUGAUGAAGUAUUUCGGUAUGUAAAGCUCUAUCAGCAGGGAAGAAAAAAGACGGUACCUGACUAAGAAGCUCCGGCUAACUACGUGCCAGCAGCCGCGGUAAUACGUAGGGGGCAAGCGUUAUCCGGAUUUACUGGGUGUAAAGGGAGCGUAGGCGGCAAUACAAGUCGGAAGUGAAAUACCCGGGCUCAACCUGGGAAUUGCUUGGGAAACUGUAUGGCUAGAGUACAGGAGAGGAAAGCGGAAUUCCUAGUGUAGCGGUGAAAUGCGUAGAUAUUAGGAAGAACACCAGUGGCGAAGGCAGCUUUCUGGACUGAAACUGACGCUGAGGCACGAAAGCGUAGGGAGCGAACAGGAUUAGAUACCCCAGUAGUC
This 441-nucleotide ribosomal RNA is filed under the name uncultured bacterium. Its description in RNAcentral is "partial 16S ribosomal RNA". It matches the Rfam family "Bacterial small subunit ribosomal RNA", at positions 338 to 795 of the family's 1533-position model. The record is from RNAcentral.